GACGAACGCUGGCGGCGUGCCUAAUACAUGCAAGUUGAGCGAUGAAGAUUGGUGCUUGCACCAAUUUGAAGAGCAGCGAACGGGUGAGUAACGCGUGGGGAAUCUGCCUUUGAGCGGGGGACAACAUUUGGAAACGAAUGCUAAUACCGCAUAACAACUUUAAACAUAAGUUUUAAGUUUGAAAGAUGCAAUUGCAUCACUCAAAGAUGAUCCCGCGUUGUAUUAGCUAGUUGGUGAGGUAAAGGCUCUCCAAGGCGAUGAUACAUAGCCGACCUGAGAGGGUGAUCGGCCACAUUGGGACUGAGACACGGCCCAAACUCCUACGGGAGGCAGCAGUAGGGAAUCUUCGGCAACGGACGAAAGUCUGACCGAGCAACGCCGCGUGAGUGAAGAAGGUUUUCGGAUUGUAAAACUCUGUUGGUAGAGAAGAACGUUGGUGAGAGUGGAAAGCUCAUCAAGUGACGGUAACUACCCAGAAAGGGACGGCUAACUACGUG
Molecule: ribosomal RNA, 497 nt
Filed under: uncultured bacterium
Lineage: Bacteria
Description: partial 16S ribosomal RNA
Rfam family: Bacterial small subunit ribosomal RNA
Source: RNAcentral